This 681-nucleotide ribosomal RNA is filed under the name Triticum aestivum (bread wheat). RNAcentral describes it as "partial small subunit ribosomal RNA". The record is from RNAcentral. Lineage: Eukaryota; Viridiplantae; Streptophyta; Magnoliopsida; Poales; Poaceae.
AUGGAGAUGCAGCCUCUGCUGACCUUGCCACUGGAGGCUGAACGCGGCCACAGUGUCGCGCAGCACCCCUCGUCGCGCGCUGCCCGUCGUCGGUCUCAGGAGAGCCUCACGCCACCAGUCUCGCAUCCGUUGUCGCCAACUACCGUCCACCCGCCGUCUCCGAGGUCCAUGAGCAAUGAAGCCCGGUCGUCUGCGCUUGUGCCGAACAUAUCAAGCCCGGCGCUGCUCGAGCUUUGCUCGCCCCAGAUGCUGUUGCUGCCUGUUCCGUCGCCUUCCAGGCCCUCGGGGUUUGAGGCCUCCCCAACGCCACCCCUGUUGUCUAGUGGGCCGCUGCGCCGCACUCCAUCGCCCGUGCGGCAUCGUAGGGCUGUUGUUGGUGCGGUCGGCCUCCAGUGCCUUGCACCCCUGUUUGAAGAUCGCCACGAAGCCAUCCUGCCCACACCCACUGAUACGUCUCCAACGGCUGGUGUGACCAUCUCCAGGGUUGGCGAUGCUCUUUCGCUGCACAAGACGUGGGCGGCAAGCUACCCCAAGGCCAUGCCGGUGGCUACAACAGCAGAAAUUCUGGUAUGUCGCUCUCUCGGCAUCGUCAAGGAUGGUGAGGACGUAACUGCUGCAGCUCUUGAUGCCUUCGCGGAACGCUUCAAAGAGCACCUGUCGUCGGAGGUAUCUCAGCCAUGA